This 253-nucleotide ribosomal RNA is filed under the name uncultured bacterium. RNAcentral's name for it is "partial 16S ribosomal RNA". It matches the Rfam family "Bacterial small subunit ribosomal RNA", at positions 524 to 776 of the family's 1533-position model. The record is from RNAcentral.
UACAGAGGUCUCAAGCGUUGUUCGGAUUCAUUGGGCGUAAAGGGUGCGUAGGCGGCGCGGUAAGUCGGGUGUGAAAUCUCGGAGCUUAACCCCGAAACUGCAUUCGAUACUGCCGUGCUUGAGGACUGGAGAGGAGACUGGAAUUUACGGUGUAGCAGUGAAAUGCGUAGAUAUCGUAAGGAAGACCAGUGGCGAAGGCGGGUCUCUGGACAGUUCCUGACGCUGAGGCACGAAGGCCAGGGGAGCAAACGGG